CCUACGGGAGGCAGCAGUGAGGAAUAUUGGUCAAUGGGCUUACGCCUGAACCAGCCAAGUCGCGUGAGGGAAGACUGCCCUAUGGGUUGUAAACCUCUUUUGUCAGGGAGCAACGCCGGCUACGUGUAGCCGGACUGAGAGUACCUGAAGAAAAAGCAUCGGCUAACUCCGUGCCAGCAGCCGCGGUAAUACGGAGGAUGCGAGCGUUAUACGGAUUUAUUGGGUUUAAAGGGUGCGUAGGCGGAAUGCCAAGUCAGCGGUAAAAUCGCGGGGCUCAACCUCGCUCCGCCGUUGAAACUGGCGGUCUUGAGUGGGCGAGAGGUAUGCGGAAUGCGUGGUGUAGCGGUGAAAUGCAUAGAUAUCGCGCAGAACUCCGAUUGCGAAGGCAGCAUACCGGCGCCCAACUGACGCUGAAGCACGAAAGCGUGGGUAUCGAACAGGAUUAGAUACCCGUGUAGUC
Molecule: ribosomal RNA, 460 nt
Filed under: uncultured bacterium
Lineage: Bacteria
Description: partial 16S ribosomal RNA
Rfam family: Bacterial small subunit ribosomal RNA
Source: RNAcentral